This 1342-nucleotide ribosomal RNA is filed under the name Megalodontes quinquecinctus. RNAcentral's name for it is "16S ribosomal RNA". Lineage: Eukaryota; Metazoa; Arthropoda; Insecta; Hymenoptera; Megalodontesidae. The record is from RNAcentral.
UUAUUAAUAAAUUUAUUAUCUUUUUUUUGAAUUUAUUAAUUAUUUUAAUAAAAAUAUUUUUAAUUGUAGAAAUUUCAGUAAUAUUAAAGAAAAAAUAUUUAGUAUAAUAAAUUAAUAGUAUUGUGAAAGAAAAAUUGAAAAAUUUAUGAAAUAUUUAAAUUUUUAUAAGUAAAAUUAAAAUUUUGUACCUUUUGUAUCAGGGUUUAUUAAAAAUAAAUUAAUUAAAGUUAUUUAUCUCGAAAUUUUAAGAGUUAAUUUAAUAUGAAUUUUAUUGUUUCAUAAAUAAAUUUAAUAUUAAAUUAGUAGUGAAAUGUUAUUCGAUUAAAAUUAUAUCUAGUUAUUUAAUAAAUGAAUUUAAUUCAUAUAUUAAUUUUAUAUAAUUUAAUUUUAUAUAAAUUAUUUUAAAUUAAUAUAAAUAAUUUAAGGGAAAAGCUUUAGAUUAGAAAUUAUAAUAUUUAUUUAUUUAUAUUAAAUUAAUAGAUUUAAAAAUAGUUAUUUAAAAAAUAUAUAAUUAUUUAUUUAAUAAAUAUACUUAUAUUUUAUUUAAUUAAAAUAUUAAAUUUAAUUUUAAAAUAAUUUAAAAUUUAUAAUAAUGAUAAAAUUAGUAUAAAAGUUUAUUUAUUAAAAUAUUUAUAUUUAUAGAUAGAUUAAAGUAAGGAAUUCGGCAAAAUUUAAUGUUCACCUGUUUAUUAAAAACAUGUCUUUUAUGAAUUUAAUUAAAAGUCUGAUCUGCUCACUGAUUUAAUUAUUAAAGAGCCGCAGUAUUCUGACUGUGCAAAGGUAGCAUAAUCAUUAGUCUCUUAAUUAGAGUCUUGUAUGAAAGAUUUGAUGAAGCAUUAACUGUCUCAUUUUAAAUAUGAUUAAAAUUUAAUUUUUAAGUUAAAAAGCUUAAAUAUAUUUAAAGGACGAGAAGACCCUAUAGAACUUUAUAAAUAUAAUAUUAUUUAUUUAAUAAGAAAUAAUUUUAUUAAUAUAGUUAUAUUUAUUUCAUUGGGAUGAUGGAUAGAUUAAUUUAACUCUAUUAUAAAUUUAAUCAUAAAUUUAUGUUUAAUAUUUAUCUUAUAUUAUGAAAUAUAAAUUAAGUUACCUUAGGGAUAACAGCGUAAUUUUUUUUAAAAGUUCAUAUUAACAAAAAAGAUUGCGACCUCGAUGUUGGAUUAAGAUAAAAAUUAGGUGUAGAAGUUUAAUUUUUUAGUCUGUUCGACUAGUAAAUUCUUACAUGAUCUGAGUUAAAAUCGGCGUGAGCCAGAUUGGUUUCUAUCCUUAAAUUAAAAAAUUAUUUUAGUACGAGAGGAUCAAAUAAUUUAAAUAAAUUUAUUUAAAUUGAUUAUCAUUAAAUUUU